ACAGAGGGCGCGAGCGUUGUCCGGAAUCACUGGGCGUAAAGGGCGCGUAGGUGGCCACCAUAAGGCCGCGGUGAAAGUUCGGGGCUCAACCCCGGAUCGGCCGCGGCGACUGUGGGGCUUGGGCACGGUAGAGGCAGAUGGAAUUCCGGGUGUAGCGGUGGAAUGCGUAGAGAUCCGGAAGAACACCAGUGGCGAAGGCGGUCUGCUGGGCCGUGGGACAGCAAUGUCCUAUUAGCCGACACUGAGGCGCGACAGCGUGGGGAGCAAACAGGA
Molecule: ribosomal RNA, 273 nt
Filed under: uncultured prokaryote
Description: partial 16S ribosomal RNA
Rfam family: Bacterial small subunit ribosomal RNA
Source: RNAcentral